RNA transcript from Triticum aestivum (bread wheat), 4246 nucleotides. It is a transcript of the gene named LEAF RUST 10 DISEASE-RESISTANCE proteinUS RECEPTOR-LIKE PROTEIN KINASE-like 2.1, with no coding region annotated. NCBI's taxonomy places the organism in Eukaryota, Viridiplantae, Streptophyta, Magnoliopsida, Poales, Poaceae. The transcript is spliced from 9 exons. The record is from RefSeq and is a predicted model, not a curated record.
ACCAAACUCCCACCAUAGGUUGAGUCAUAGCAGAGAGGAAAAGAAAGCAGACACAAAUUCGCAGCGCGGCGCGGCUCCGGCUUCCUGUAAACGUAGCCAGGUGUCGCCGGCGCCGGUCCUUACCGCCGCCGCGCCAGGAGAUGAUGCUGCCCGGGCAUGCCUUGUGCCGCGCUGAACAAGGACUGUUUGAAGAUGCUCCAAGGAAACUUUUAUUUAAUUUCUUGGUCGUUAUAUUGGCUCUGGAAUUUAUCAAUAAGGCUGAUUUGAUUGCCAAAACAUCGGCUCUAAAGGCUGACACUCACACUCCUAUUAUGUCUGCUUCACAAGAAUGGAGUUCAGUUCGGCCCAUGGUAUCCCAAACCAAAGUUGUCACAAGUAUUGCAAUGAGUCAGCAUAGACAAAAGAAGCCAUAUUCAUCACCAUCAGCUCUAUCAUCUGUGCACUCUCCUAUCUCUGCGCCGAGCUAUAGCUCCAUCUCGGGUGCUUCUGAACGCUCUUUUGAUUCACUGGACCUGUUCGAUCCUUCGAUGCAGCACAACAGGCGCUCAGCAGAAGAGGUUCCUGCUCAUGUGGAUGCUGACCUCCCUGAUGCAGCUUCGAAUACUAGUACAGCUCCUUCUGGAGUGGUGCAGCCCCCACUAUCUCCAUACGAUGGCUGUUGUGCUCCGAACAUGGUACAGAGACGAGGUAGCGAGAACUGCCAUUGUGUUUACCCGGUAAGAGUUGUGCUCUUUCUUCACAAUGUUUCCUUGAAUUCAAAUUGGAGCAACGAAUUUCUUGAGGAGCUUGCGUCACAUCUCAACUUGCGGGUUACUCAGUUUGAGAUUGUAAAUUUCUAUGUUGUUGGAACUUCUGGGCUAAAUAUGACAAUGGACAUAGCUCCCCACACUGGAAAUAGCUUCUCAUCCGAACAAGUUACUGCGAUGAAUUAUUCUCUUAGCCUGCAUACAAUUCGGAUCAAUCCAGUACUGAUUGGGGACUACAAUCUUCUUGAUCUAGUGUGGUUCAGGCCAUUGGCUCCAGCUCCUGAUGCAAUAGCAGGCAGCUCGAGCGUACUUAUGCUUCUUUUUGCAUUUUGGUUGGGCUACAGGAAGUACGGAUCCAAAAGGAAAUCAAAGGAGAGAGCAAAGAUUGAGUCCAUCCUACAAAAGAAUGGAACUGUCCAUUUGAAACGGUACACUUAUGCCCAAGUGAAAAGAAUAACGAGAUCUUUUGCUGAAAAGCUAGGUCAAGGUGGAUUUGGUGCUGUUUACAGAGGCGACCUCUUUGAUGGUCGUCAGAUAGCAGUCAAAAUACUCAAGGACUACAAGACUGAUGGGGAGGAUUUCAUCAAUGAGGUAGCUAGCAUUAGUAGAACUUCUCACGUUAACGUUCUUAAUCUCUUAGGAUUUUGCUUGGAAGGAUCUAAAAGGGCAUUAAUUUAUGACUAUAUGCCUAAUGGUUCACUUGAAAAGUAUGCCUUCAAGGAUGGCUCUAAAGGUGGAAAUACUUUAGGUUGGGAAAAAUUAUUUGAUAUAGCAGUGGGCAUUGCUCGAGGACUUGAAUAUCUCCACAGAGGAUGCAAUACCCGCAUGGUGCAUUUUGAUAUCAAGCCCCACAACAUUCUAUUGGAUCAAAAUUUCUGUCCAAAGAUUUCUGAUUUUGGACUAGCCAAGCAGUGCCUCAAUAAAGAAAGUGUUAUUUCCAUUGGUGGUGCAAGAGGAACAAUAGGCUAUAUAGCCCCCGAGGUUUAUUCGAAGCAAUUUGGAACAGUAAGUACUAAGUCUGAUGUUUACAGUUAUGGAAUGAUGGUUCUUGAGAUGGUUGGGGCAAGGGACAAGAAUAUCAGCCAAAAUAGUGAAUCUACCAGCCAAUAUUUCCCACAAUGGAUUUAUGAACAUUUAGAUGAAUAUUGUCUUAGUGCUUCCGAGAUAAAUGGAGGGACCUCAGAGAUUGUAAGGAAGAUGAUAGUGGUAGGGAGGUGCAUACAGUUGAGUCCUACAGAUCGUCCAACAAUGACUAGAGUUGUCGAGAUGCUUGAAGGGAGCACAACUAACAUCGAAUUGCCACCAACGGUGCUCUUGAGUUGAUAGCCUCCAGCCCCGAGAGGAGCCGCCGCCGCCGCCGAGAGGAGACGCCCCAGCCCCGAGAGGAGCCACCGCCGCCGAGAGGAGACGCCCCAACCCCGAGAGGAUCCGCCGCCGCCGGGGAACGAGGUCGCCGCCGCCUCCCUCGCCCGCGGCCAUGAUGACCGAUCUGGCGUGGGCGCCGCAGAUCACCCUCUGGUCCAUGGCCUCGACCAGUUUGCUAUGAUCUGGCGACGGGAUGCAAGGAGAAGCUGCUGCAGUUUCAAGGGGCCGUGAGGAUGCCCACCAUGAAGGCGUGUCUGGGAUGAUGGAGGUGAUAUCCAGGCCCUGCUGAUAUCGGCCAGGUCCCCGAUGCCGUCGACUGGCGGCGGCCACCGUGUCCUCUUCCAUGGCGUCGGCGGGGCCUUCCCCUGCCAAGCGCAGCGGCUCCUUGGCUGGAUCACCGUCGCACACCUCGCCGGCGUGGUCGGCAAGAUCUGCAUCUCGAUCCUCGCCACUCUCCAUCCUCUUGCAGGUAAUAGGCUUUCCGCCCCCUCUUUUAUCUCCCGCGUUCUCGUGUGCACGGAUUGUGAGCGUGAAGGAAUAUUUCUCUUCUAUUUCAUGGUGCUGCUGUGCUCCUUCUGCCUUCACACUGCACAUAUAUAGAUUCUUCAAAGGAAUUGGAUGCUGAUAAUAUCAACUUAGUUCCCUGAAUGUGAUAUAUAUAUAUAUUCUUCCCUCGCUUUGAAUUGAUUGCCCCAAACAAUAUAUCUCUGGUUGACAGUCAUGGCCUAUUAUUAUUGUUGUUAAUUUACAACACUCUGUGCUGUAUUGUCCAAUCAUGGUCCAAACUUAAACCUUGGCUGUGGAUUCAUUGUAUGUACCAUAUGCUGUUCAUAGCUACAAAAUUGCAAUCUCUUGAAAAUGUUCUUGAAUACAGUAAUUUUUUUGUCACAUAACCCAUAUGCUGAUGAUAAAGUUUGUUGUAUGAGCUUGUGGCAUACUGAUCCGACAGGUGGCAGGUAUGCGUUCAGAUGUUGCAGCUCUAAGGAAGGGUAGUAUAUGGCACAUGGCUUUGUGGGUUGUUCGACAAGAAGUGUUUUGGGCAUAUUCGAAAGGCAAUCUUGUCAAAAUUGUACAUCGAUUUUCUUAUUCCGCCAUCAGCUUCUAUUGAUAUGAGCGAUACAAAAAGUUCAGCACUGAAUUUUAGUAUGUUAACUUGCAAGAUUUCUCGUGACUAUUUUUUUUGUUAUAGGUUUAUAAAUUUCGAAAUAUAGUUGCAGCUUCACGGAAUGGACGGCCCAAAUUAUGUUAGUGUCUAUAUGUUUACUUGGUGGUGGUCUAGCGUGAGUGACACCUGCAUCUGUAACUUACCCAUUGGAUGUUGUUCGAAAUCACCUGACAACACAGAAAACCACUAGGUAUUACAAGGGCAUCUUUCACACGUUGUCUACAAUUUGUAGAGAAGAGAGUGGUAGAGGAUUGUAUAAAGGCCUUUGGUCCACCUUAUUGGGAGUUGGACCUGAUAUAUCAAUCAACGUUUAUGUAUAUGAAUCCCUGAGGUCUCAUUGGCAAAUGGAAAGUUGAAUGUCAAACUGUGCGACCAAUGAUUUGCUAUGGUUAAUUCCAGUUGGCUGUGUUAACCUACAGUAAUCAAUCAAGUCAACAAAUAUAACAAUGAUACUUUGUCUUCUGAUUUUUGGUGGUGAUUUUUUUUGUGACUGAACUAACAGGAGCUGAAGCAUGUGUUCUUAUUUUUUUAUAUGACUAGAUGCAUAUGAACUGAAGCUCCAUAAUUUUCUUUUCAAGUCGACAUUGGUGGCAACCAAUACAAUUAGCGUUAUUUACAACCAAUGAAGUCUUAUAAUUUUCUUUCUUAGAAAUAUACAGUGACACUGACUAUCAUUUAGUAGCUCUACCGGCACUAGCCAAAAACAAUAAUAUUUAUUUAUUUAACCACCAAAUAGAACAAUAGGUUAUUCUGCAUUAUGGGUACACAAAUCACAACACUAUAUUUCAGCUGUAGAAAUCUGUGUGGAUGCCUGCUGAUAUUUUAAGCCUACAUAUUGCCGAUUUGGUUUGAGGAAUGCUUGAAGCAUAAUUUACUCCCUAAUGUGCAAAUAGCAGUAUCAUUUUUUGUCAAGAAACUGAGAAGACGGAAGAGAGUUGGUGUUGUCAGUGUGGUGAGCCUAUGCGGCAAC